Molecule: long non-coding RNA, 2309 nt
Organism: Parus major (Great Tit)
Lineage: Eukaryota; Metazoa; Chordata; Aves; Passeriformes; Paridae
Exons: 2
Source: RefSeq, a predicted model, not a curated record
GCGGGAGCGGCCGCGGAGCGGCGGGACCGGCCCGGGCGCGGGGUCGGGCCCCGGGGGCUGUCGGCGUGAGGGGAAACGGUGAUAUCCCAGCUCAUCCCCGCCCGUGAUGUGCGUGAAUACGUCUCACUUCAGUUGGCCCUCUGGGCCCGUCCCGUCCCUCCACGGUUGGCGGCUCCGAGCACCCCGGUGCGGCCGGUGCCACCGCGCCCUGAGGACGCCGCCACCUCCGCCCCCUCACAGAGCCGGGACUCUGCGGUGUUCCUGCACAGGAACUCCCCCAGGAGAAUGCGGGGAAACAUCCCUGCUGCCCUCCCUGGGAAUGCCGCCCUGGGGAUGUGCCCGGCAGAUGAGUUUUCAUUUGCUAGUGUUUUACAAGCUGCUAAUGUGAAACUUGCUGCUGCAAAAAGUGAGUGAAAAUCUGGAGACCACUCAUGAUAGUUUCACAUUUGGAGACAUAUUUUUAGCGCUGGAGGCCCCCAGACAGAAGACUUAUUAAAAGAGACAAUCUUCCAAUAAAAUGCUUUUCCAGUUGUGUAAGAACAUGAAAAUUUGUAAGAACUUUCACACAGAAUUGAGUCAGACAUAGAUGAAGUGUGAGCAAUCAUGAAAUUCUUUCAAAUGUUCAGUACUACUCAUUCGAUCUUGUGCAAGUUUGCUUAUUUUAUCAUUAGGCAAAUUUAACAGGGAUUAAUACAACCAGUAAAGGAUUAGACAGAUUAAGGCUAAACUAUUUAAAGACAAAGCAACGUUAAUUAAACUGACUUGAGUAAUUCAGAUUAAUCAGUGAUGCUUCAGAUGGAGAAAAAGACGACAGAAAUGUGGCCAGAGACCAGAAGAACAAUUUAAAUGACAGCUUUUGUCUUGAUUAUUGCCCUCUGCACACUUGAAAUGAAGGCAUGAUGAAGUACAGCUCACACGUGCUAAAUCGAACUUUAAAUCUCAGCACCUUUAUACAAUCGUGACAAGAAAGGGAGGGUUUCGAUGUCUUGAGUUGAAAAGGGAGUUACCUGUCAGCGUUUGUGAUCAUCCUCGACUGGAAUAGAAAAUGAAACCAUGAAUUCAAAGAUAAAAUAAGAUUUGUUUUAAACUGGAUGAAGUGUUCGUCUAGACCGAAGUGAUUUACCUUGAAGAUUUUCUUCUCUUUCUGAGCAAAUCAACGCCUCGCUCGUUCUUCCAUCCCUUCCCCCACAAAACAAUUUCACAUUUCCGCAGUAAAACGUGGUGCUCCCGGGAGCUGCUCAUGCGGCACUACGGGAGAGAAUAUUUAGGUCACUGGGUUUUAGCGCUGGCUCUAGCGGGAGUCGCGCUGCUCUCUCUGGAUUACGGGAUCCGUGUGUCCUGAGUCACAGACACGGGCGGCUCCAGCCUCACUCUUUUGGGCUGGAGCCCUUAACAUUUGAACUUCAUCUCUGGCUUUCGGUCGCCGCCAGCUGAGGGGUAAAGCCAACAUGUUUUGCUAAUUCACGGUGUGAUCCCACCGCGCCGGGAGCAGCGGCCAGUUAGAGAUGACGUUGUUUUCUUUGUUGCUCUGGGGAAGAGAAUUGCUUGGCUUCCUUUGCCCUCUACUGGUGGCCCGCACGGCUUCGAUGCCAAUUCGGUUGCUUUGUUUAAUAUACAUAUACAAAAUAAUUAUUUAAAAUAUACAACCCCUAACAGCUGAGCAAAACCACAGUUGAGGGCGUUUCCAGAGCUUUCCCAAGACAUUAGGAGGAGUGUUCUCUAUUAUUGCAAGAAAGAAAUCAUCUUAGUAAUUUAUGAAGAUUUUUUUUUCCCCAGUUUCAUCCCAGCUGUGUGAUAAGUACAGUGCGAACUGGGGUGGAAAAAUCAGAGCAGUGUCUGCUCUGCUGCUUUUGCAGAGAGCUUGGAGUACCUGCCUUGAUGGAAGAACACCAAGGACAUGGAUGUUCAUGGACAUGAUACCCAGAGGACAUCAGCUGGCUGCAGUUAGGAGUUUACAGGAAAAUACCCAGUGCGUUUUGGUUGCCUGUCUGUAAAAUUAAUGUACCUGGUGAUCGAAGACCCAGACGUAACAAAUGACAGUGCCCAUGCAGAGCUGGGUUUGUUCUGUCUUCUCCCAAAGUGCCUGAAUGCAGAGUUAAAACAAGAAGAGGAGGGGGUGGACUGGAACACUGUGAUGUCUUCUGAGACUCCUCUGCAGUCACACUGAAUUCCUGUCCUGUGAGCCCCCAGCUGCUCUGGGACAGCUUGGAAAGGACAAGGCUCCAAGUUCUUGAUUAAGAGGAGAAGGGUUUUUUUGGGUUUUUUUUCUGUUCUAAAGGGAAAGGAUGAUUUUCAGCUGUAUCACCAAA